CAGUCUGCAUGGAGCCGGCCUUGAAAUACCACCCUUUAAUGUUUGAUGUUCUAACGUGGACCCGUGAUCCGGGUUGCGGACAGUGUCUGGUGGGUAGUUUGACUGGGGCGGUCUCCUCCUAAAGAGUAACGGAGGAGCACGAAGGUUGGCUAAUCCUGGUCGGACAUCAGGAGGUUAGUGCAAUGGCAUAAGCCAGCUUGACUGCGAGCGUGACGGCGCGAGCAGGUGCGAAAGCAGGUCAUAGUGAUCCGGUGGUUCUGAAUGGAAGGGCCAUCGCUCAACGGAUAAAAGGUACUCCGGGGAUAACAGGCUGAUACCGCCCAAGAGUUCAUAUCGACGGCGGUGUUUGGCACCUCGAUGUCGGCUCAUCACAUCCUGGGGCUGAAGUAGGUCCCAAGGGUAUGGCUGUUCGCCAUUUAAAGUGGUACGCGAGCUGGGUUUAGAACGUCGUGAGACAGUUCGGUCCCUAUCUGCCGUGGGCGCUGGAGAACUGAGGGGGGCUGCUCCUAGUACGAGAGGACCGGAGUGGACGCAUCACUGGUGUUCGGGUUGUCAUGCCAAUGGCACUGCCCGGUAGCUAAAUGCGGAAGAGAUAAGUGCUGAAAGCAUCUAAGCACGAAACUUGCCCCGA
RNAcentral lists this ribosomal RNA (631 nucleotides) under Salmonella enterica. Its description in RNAcentral is "partial 23S ribosomal RNA". It matches the Rfam family "Bacterial large subunit ribosomal RNA", at positions 2172 to 2802 of the family's 2925-position model. Lineage: Bacteria; Pseudomonadati; Pseudomonadota; Gammaproteobacteria; Enterobacterales; Enterobacteriaceae. The record is from RNAcentral. RNAcentral also lists the same sequence under 1 other name.